AUGGGGCAAGGUCAAGUGGUAAGGCAACGGGUUUUGGUCCCGCUAUUCGGAGAUUGCUUUUUUGCUACAUCCAUUUCAUUAGGAAUUGAUGAUCUUUUAACAAUACCUUCUAAGGGAUGGCUAGUUCAAGAUGAUGAACAACAAAGUUUGAUUUUGAAAAAAUACCAUCAGUAUUAAAAUGUACACGCGGUAGAAAAAUUACGUCAAUCCAUUGAAAUAUGGUAUGCUACAAGUGAAUAUUUGCGCCAAGAAAUGAAUCCGAAUUUUAGGAUGACUGACCCUUUCAAUCCAGUUCAUAUAAUGUCUUUCUCGGGAGCUCGAGGAAAUGCAUCUCAGGUACAUCAAUUAGUAGGUAUGAGAGGAUUAAUGUCGGAUCCUCAAGGACAAAUGAUUGAUUUACCUAAUCAAAGCAAUUUACGCGAAGGACUCUCUUAAACAGAAUACAUCAUUUCUUGCCACGGAGCCCGUAAAGGAGUUGUGGAUACUGCUGUACGAACAUCAGACGCUGGAUAUCUCACUCGCAGACUUGUUGAAGUAGUUCAACACAUUGUUGUACGUCGAACGAAUUGUGGCACCGCCCGGGGUAUUUCUGCGAGUCCUCGGAAUGGGAUAGUGCCGGAAAGGAUUUUUAGUCAAACAUUAAUUGGCCGUGUAUUAGCAGAUGAUAUAUACAUGGGUUCACGAUGCAUUGCCACUAGAAACCAAGCCAUUGGCAUUGGACUUGUAAAUUGAUUUAUAACCUUUCGGGCACAACCAAUCUCUAUUCGAACUCCCUUUACUUGUAGGAGUACAUCUUGGAUUUGUUGAUUAUGUUAUGGGUGUAGUCCUACUCAUGGCGACCUCCUUGAAUUGGGGGAAGCUGUAGGUAUUAUUGCAGGUCAAUCGAUUGGAGAACUGGGUACUCGAUUAACAUUACGAACUUUUCAUACCGGAGGAGUAUUCACGGGGGGUACUGCAGAACAUGUGCGAGCCCCAUCUAAUGGAAAAAUAAAAUUCAAUGAGGACUUGGUUCAUCCGACACGUACACGUCAUGGGCAUCCCGCCUUUCUAUGUUUUAUAGACUUGUAUGUAACUAUUGAGAGUGAAGAUAUUCUACAUAAUGUGAAUAUUCCACCCAAAAGUUUGCUUUUAGUUCAAAACGAUCAAUACGUAGAAUCAGAACAAGUAAUUGCUGAGAUUCGCACAGGAAUAUCCACUUUGAAUUUUAAAGAGAAGGUUCGAAAACAUAUUUAUUCUGAUUCAGACGGAGAAAUGCAUUGGAGUACCGAUGUCUAUCGUGCACCGGAAUUUACAUAUGGUAAUGUUCAUCUUUUACCAAAAACAAGUCAUUUAUGGAUAUUAUUAGGAGGGCCGUGCAGGUCCAGUCUAGUCUACCUUUCGAUCCACAAGGAUCAGGAUCAAAUGAAUGAUCAGGCGAGGCAGAAAUUGUUUAGUUCGAAUUUUUAUGGUAAAAAAGAAGAUAGGAUUCCUGAUUAUUCUGACCUUAAUCGAAUCAUAUGUACUGACCAGUAUAAUCUCGUAUAUUCACCUAUUCUUCACGGGAAAUCUGCUUUAUUGUCAAAAAGGCGAAGAAAUAAAUUCAUCAUUCCACUACACUCGAUUCAAGAACUCGAGAAUGAACUAAUGCCCUAUUCAGGUAUCUCGAUUGAAAUCCCCGUAAAUGGUAUUUUCCGUCGAAAUAGUAUUCUUGCUUAUUUCGAUGAUCCUCGAUACAGAAGAAAGAGUUCGGGCAUUAUUAAAUAUGGGACUAUAGAAACGCAUUCAGUCAUCAAAAAAGAGGAUUUGAUUGAGUAUCGAGGAGUCAAGGAAUUUAGGCCAAAAUACCAAAUGAAAGUAGAUCGAUUUUUUUUCAUUCCUGAAGAGGUGCAUAUCUUGCCCGGAUCUUCUUCCCAAAUGGUACGGAACAAUAGUAUCGUUGGGGUCGAUACACAAAUCACCUUAAAUCUAAGAAGCUGAGUCGGUGGGUUGGUCCGGGUGGAGAGAAAAAAAAUGAAUUGAACUAAAAAUCUUUUCUGGAGAUAUCCAUUUUCCUGUAGAGACGGAUAAGAUAUCCAGGCGUACCGGCGUUUUGAUACCACCAGGAACAGGAAAAAGAAAUUCCAAGGAAUACAAACAAGUUCAAAAUUGGAUCUAUGUCCAACGAAUUAUACCUAGUAAGAAAAGGUUUUUUGUUUUAGUUCGACCUAUCGUCACAUAUGAAAUAAUGGACGGUAUAAAUUUAGGAACCUUUUCCACCGGAUCCAUUGCAGGAAAGGGAUAAUGUGCAACUUCGAAAUGUCAAUUAUAUCCUUUAUGGAAAUGGCAAACCGAUUCGAGGAAUUUCUGACACAAGUAUUCAAUUAGUUCAGACUUGUUUAGUAUUGAAUUGGAACCAAGACAAAAAAAGUUCUUCUUGCGAAGAAGCCCGUGCUUCUUUUGUUGAAAUAAGGACAAAUGGUUUGAUUUGACAUUUCCUAAAAAUCAACUUAGUGAAAUCCCCUAUUUUGUAUAUCGAAAAAAGGAAUGAUCCGUCGGGGUCAAGAUUGCUCUCUGAUAAUGGAUCAGAUUGUACCAAUAUCAAUCCCUUUUCUGCUAUUUAUUCCUAUUCCAAGGCAAAAAUUCAACAAUCUCUUAACCAACCUCAAGGAACUAUUCAUACGUUGUUGAAUAGAAAUAAGGAAUGUCAGUCGUUGAUAAUUUUGUCAGCAGCCAAUUGUUCUCGAAUGGAGCCAUUCAAAGAUGUAAAA
Molecule: RNA transcript, 2726 nt
Organism: Solanum pennellii
Lineage: Eukaryota; Viridiplantae; Streptophyta; Magnoliopsida; Solanales; Solanaceae
Gene name: DNA-directed RNA polymerase subunit beta''-like
Exons: 2
Source: RefSeq, a predicted model, not a curated record